Molecule: long non-coding RNA, 1042 nt
Filed under: Mus musculus (house mouse)
Lineage: Eukaryota; Metazoa; Chordata; Mammalia; Rodentia; Muridae
Description: long non-coding RNA chr4:47426027-47427069
Source: RNAcentral
UCACAGAAUCCAAGGACAGUUGUUCUAGUUUAGUUUGGGCCUUUAAAUAAUAGUGCCUGGUGGCAUCUCCUGAAGCUGGCCUUUCCUUUUCUCCUCCCGCCACCUCUCCCCUCAGCUUCAUCUCUGUCAGCCAGCCCCACUCUCUUCGCUGUGCCGGGUUACCCCUCAUCACAGUCUUCGUAGGAGUCUCUGCUGCUCUUUGGAUUCCUUUACCAAUGGGAGGAGGCCGACAAAGAUCACCAAGACGAUAAUCAAGAUGAUCUGGUCACCGCACUGAGUUCGGAUCUGAUCCCUGUCAUUAGAUGCAUGUCCAGUCACCUGGAGGAGGCGACCCUCUUGGAGCCUUACGAGCAUCUCUUACUGCUUUCAAAACAAGCUCCUAACCGUCUCUCGGAACACCUCUCCUCCAGGCUUCUUAGCUUCCUGACAGGAUCUGGGGUGUGAGUGAAGGGGAGACUCCACUCUGUCUUUAUCUUUCAUUUCACAGUCCAGUCAGUCAGUUAGCUUCAGGUCCUAUGCACAAACUUGAACCAGCUGUGAGUAGUUCCAGGAUUACUUCCAGGCAGAGCCACCUGAACCUGUGCUGGGUGGCACAACAUGCCCAUAGGGACAAAGACAAACCCUAUGACUUCACACACCAGCCUGCAUUUAGCCAGGUUCUUCAGGCUCCUGACAUCACCAGCUAGCAUGACACACUGCAGAAAUUACUGUAUGGUACUUGGGUGCUGAUCUUCAUCUUGGUUUUCUCUUUUAAGAAACUAAAAAUGUCCCUGGAGAGGUAGCUCAGCGAUGGUUAUGAGAGCAUGCUGCUUUUGCAGGGAACCCAAGUUCGGUUCCCAGCUCCUACACUGGGUGACUUGCAACUUUCUGUAAUUCCAGCUCCAGAGCCUCUGACACCCUCUUCUGUGAGCCCAUCGUUCUCUCUCUCUCUCUCUCUCUCUCUCUCUCUCUCUCUCUCUCUCUCUCUCUCUCUUUCUCUCUCUCUCGUGUGUGUGUGUGUGUGUGUGUGUGUGUGUGUGUGUGUGUGUGUGUGUGUAAUUUU